AGCUUUAUAGUCAAUAAUGAUUUUAAAUUGCAAAUUUAAAGGAGGGGAGACCCUAAGGCUU
This 61-nucleotide transfer RNA is filed under the name Aulacochthebius sp. IBE<ESP> RA1155. RNAcentral describes it as "tRNA-Cys". The record is from RNAcentral. Lineage: Eukaryota; Metazoa; Arthropoda; Insecta; Coleoptera; Hydraenidae.